Catharus ustulatus (Swainson's thrush) is the source of this 1583-nucleotide long non-coding RNA. RefSeq lists it as uncharacterized. The transcript has 3 exons. The record is from RefSeq and is a predicted model, not a curated record. NCBI's taxonomy places the organism in Eukaryota, Metazoa, Chordata, Aves, Passeriformes, Turdidae.
CUCUUCACUGAGUCCCAGACCCAGCUCCUUAAAGGGGACCACACAGAUGUAGCUGGUCACGUUGUCACUCUCCGAGUUCAGAGGAAUCACAGAAUGGUUUGGGUUGGAAAGGAACAUGAAGAUGCUCUAAUUCCAAACCCCUUGCCAUGGGCCUGGACACCUUCCACCAGACUCCUGAAAGCCCCAUCCAGCAUGGCCCUUAACACUUCCAGGGAUGGGAUGAUCCGAGAAGAGGAUGAGAAGAAGCCGUCAGUGUAACUGCACCUGUGUCCCUGCACAGUGGCAUUUUCCUCACAGCAUCAGCGGAUGCAGUUUGAAACUUCCCAGGAUCAUGCGAUUUCUCCUGACUAAUGUGGCUUUCUAACUGGGAGGAGGGAGAUGAGAAUGACAGAUUGCUAAAGGCUUUUAAAAAGAUGCUGCUUGAAAGAAUUAUUGCACAUUGAUCUCAUAUUCAGCCAUUAAUAAGACUUUCCAAGGAACAAUAUUUAAAAGCCUUGGUCAUAUUCUCCUGGCUGGUAACCACCUCCUCCUGAGCACUGACUGACAAAGAGCCAGGCGCUGCUGACAGGGCUAAUAUUAGACAAUGACUUCAAGGCAGCCAAAGAGUCAUUUAGAUUUCCUAUUCUGCUUUCCCCGCCACAGCAGCACAGACCUUGGUUUCUCCAGCACUACUGUAUCAUCUGUUUUACAAGUAGGCUCUGAGAAUUACUUUAAAGUCAUUAAUCUAUUACUGUUCCCAGAUAUUUUUUGAUGCACAAUAUCUUGGCCAGUGGUAGCACUCAGCAUGAGGAGGUGCCAGGGGGUUGGGUCAGGGGAGGUUUGGGUUGGAUAUCAGGAGAGAAUUUUCUACCUCGGGGUGGUUGAGUACUGGAGCAGGCUUCUCAGGAAAGUGGCCUGGAUCAGGCAUCAGGCCUGUCUAAGUUCAGGAAGCAUUUGGAAAAUGCUCUCAGGACCAUGAUGUGAUUAUUGGGGUGUCCUGCAUGGGGCCUGGAUUUGGGCUUGAUGACCCAGCUGGGUCCCUUUCAACUCAGUAUAUUCUGUGAUUCUAUUAUAUGUGCCUAUAUUGUAUGGACUCAUGUGUUUUCAAGAGUUUGUGAAGUUUUACACACUGUGUAUAUUUCUGUAUCACUAGAUCUCUGACAUGGGAAUACUCUUUCCUUUGCAUUGUACAGCAGGUGGUUGUACAUUACAGCCAUCAUGGAAAAGCAUUAGAAAAAAAAAUUACAUACUAGACAAAGCACUGAAAUUCACUGAGAGCUCAUCACUGUUUAUCCAUUCAAAAGUAGACCUGCAGAUGCAGGUGAAAAGCUGAGCAGGUCCUUUCUGACAGAGAUGAAAAAUACUGGAAAAACUUCAAGUUAAAGCGGUAAAUGUUACUUUCCCUGAAGGACAAGGUAAUGAGCCAGCUAACUCUGUACCUGGAGAUUUGGGUGGGAAGUCACUCAUCAUGCUGGUUAUCAGACUAGGUUGAUGAUACAGCAAGACUGGUUUGCUUUAUACCAGUCACUAUCUCAUAGAUUUACUCCUUCAUUUACGUUCAAAACUCAAUUACAGUAACUUCACGAAUACAAGCCGCACUGAGU